CCCAACGUCCAUACCAUGUUGAAUACACCGGUUCUCGUCCGAUCACCGAAGUUAAGCAACAUCGGGCGCGGUCAGUACUUGGAUGGGUGACCGCCUGGGAACACCGCGUGAUGUUGGCU
This 119-nucleotide ribosomal RNA is filed under the name Bicyclus anynana (squinting bush brown). Lineage: Eukaryota; Metazoa; Arthropoda; Insecta; Lepidoptera; Nymphalidae. The record is from RNAcentral.